RNAcentral lists this long non-coding RNA (837 nucleotides) under Lactuca sativa (garden lettuce). RNAcentral describes it as "long non-coding RNA (LSAT_LNC000093)". Lineage: Eukaryota; Viridiplantae; Streptophyta; Magnoliopsida; Asterales; Asteraceae. The record is from RNAcentral.
UUUGAGAGCUCGAGAAUAAUGGCAAAAGCUUCUUCAUCAUCGAUGUCAUGAAGCUCAGUCCAUAUAUUGAUAAGAACAUCUAGAGGGAUCUUUUUGUCUUCUGGGAAAGAACCCAAAUCAAGAAAGCAGUUUCUCACUUUUUCUGAGAGGUAAUCGAUGCUGAGUUUCAUCCUGUUGAGCAACUCGAUUUCAUGGGAAUCGCAUAUUGGUUGGGCUCUUGAUAAUCUGCUGUUGGCACCUCUCCAGUACAUUUCAGGCUGAUCUCUUAGUGAAGCUCCGAUCACUUUCAGAGCCAAUGGAAGCCCUUUGCAUUUCUCCACAACCUAUUAAACCCAGGACUCCAUUAACAAAGGGUUCACAUAUUUAUUGAUUAAACAAACAAGAAACAAGUUAUACCUGUUUGAUCAGAUUCUCAUCAGAUCCAGGAGGUAUUGAGGUUGUUCCGAAAGCAGUGUGACAGAAAANGAAUUAACUUUCUUGUAUAUAUAUAUAUAUUAUAUAUAUACCUUUCUUCUUUCAAAAGGGUGAGAAGAUUUUUGUUUGAGAGCUCGAGAAUAAUGGCAAAAGCUUCUUCAUCAUCGAUGUCAUGAAGCUCAGUCCAUAUAUUGAUAAGAACAUCUAGAGGGAUCUUUUUGUCUUCUGGGAAAGAACCCAAAUCAAGAAAGCAGUUUCUCACUUUUUCUGAGAGGUAAUCGAUGCUGAGUUUCAUCCUGUUGAGCAACUCGAUUUCAUGGGAAUCGCAUAUUGGUUGGGCUCUUGAUAAUCUGCUGUUGGCACCUCUCCAGUACAUUUCAGGCUGAUCUCUUAGUGAAGCUCCGAUCACUUUCAGAGCCAAUG